UGGGGAAUAUUGGACAAUGGGCGAAAGCCUGAUCCAGCCAUGCCGCGUGAGUGACGAAGGCCUUAGGGUUGUAAAACUCUUUCGUCGGGGACGAUAAUGACGGUACCCGAAGAAGAAGCUCCGGCUAACUUCGUGCCAGCAGCCGCGGUAAUACGAAGGGAGCUAGCGUUGUUCGGAAUCACUGGGCGUAAAGCGCACGUAGGCGGAUAGUUAAGUCAGGGGUGAAAUCCUGGGGCUCAACCCCAGAACUGCCUUUGAUACUGGCUGUCUCGAGGUCGAGAGAGGUUGGUGGAAUUCCUAGUGUAGAGGUGAAAUUCGUAGAUAUUAGGAAGAACACCAGUGGCGAAGGCGGCCAACUGGCUCGAUACUGACGCUGAGGUGCGAAAGCAUGGGGAGCAAACAGGAUUAGAUACCCAUGUAGUCCCUGAGCGGGCUGGCAAGGCGCAU
RNAcentral lists this ribosomal RNA (447 nucleotides) under uncultured bacterium. RNAcentral's name for it is "bacterial SSU rRNA". It matches the Rfam family "Bacterial small subunit ribosomal RNA", at positions 355 to 825 of the family's 1533-position model. The record is from RNAcentral.